This is a non-coding RNA of Acanthosepion pharaonis, 97 nucleotides long. NCBI's taxonomy places the organism in Eukaryota, Metazoa, Mollusca, Cephalopoda, Sepiida, Sepiidae. The record is from the annotation of a GenBank genome assembly.
UUGAAACACCAGUUCCUGUAUGAUCAUUGAAGUUAAGUAAUGUCGAGUCUGGUCAGUACCAUGAUGGGUGACUGGUUGGGAAUAUCAGGUACUGUCA